UAACGGCGAGCAAACCG
This 17-nucleotide small RNA is filed under the name Arabidopsis thaliana (thale cress). RNAcentral's name for it is "ATSL300190". Lineage: Eukaryota; Viridiplantae; Streptophyta; Magnoliopsida; Brassicales; Brassicaceae. The record is from RNAcentral.